GGGGGUGCAUUGGCUUCGACCUGGGUGGUAUCCGCCUGGGGGAAGCGGGCCGAGGUCCCCGGAUGCCUCGUUAAAAGCCGGGACAACAAACAAGCGCCAACAACUACGCGCUGGCUGCCUAGUUAGCUAGGUAGCCGUCCGCCCAGGACCGCCUGUGGCCGGGGGUCGGACGUCAUCAGCAGGCUCACGACGGCAGCUCGGCCCGGUGGCCGCCGUCGGACAUCGCAGCCGGGCUGGCCGAGAGGUCCUCCGCCUGUGGGAGCCUCGAGGCGAGACCUGACCGCAGGCUACGCCCGUAGAAGACCCAGAUGGUCACCUUGGGACGGGGGUUCGAAUCCCCCCACCUCCACCA
RNAcentral lists this transfer-messenger RNA (352 nucleotides) under Actinomycetota bacterium. It matches the Rfam family "transfer-messenger RNA". Rfam says of the family: Bacterial tmRNA, also known as 10Sa RNA or SsrA, is named for its dual tRNA and mRNA-like properties. Its role is to liberate the mRNA from a stalled ribosome. Lineage: Bacteria; Bacillati; Actinomycetota. The record is from RNAcentral.